This 468-nucleotide ribosomal RNA is filed under the name uncultured bacterium. RNAcentral's name for it is "partial 16S ribosomal RNA". It matches the Rfam family "Bacterial small subunit ribosomal RNA", at positions 28 to 507 of the family's 1533-position model. The record is from RNAcentral.
GACGAACGCUGGCGGCGUGCUUAACACAUGCAAGUCGAACGGAAAGGCCCUGCUUUUGUGGGGUGCUCGAGUGGCGAACGGGUGAGUAACACGUGAGUAACCUGCCCUUGACUUUGGGAUAACUUCGGGAAACUGGGGCUAAUACCGGAUAGGAGCUCCUGCUGCAUGGUGGGGGUUGGAAAGUUUCGGCGGUUGGGGAUGGACUCGCGGCUUAUCAGCUUGUUGGUGGGGUAGUGGCUUACCAAGGCUUUGACGGGUAGCCGGCCUGAGAGGGUGACCGGCCACAUUGGGACUGAGAUACGGCCCAGACUCCUACGGGAGGCAGCAGUGGGGAGUAUUGCACAAUGGGCGGAAGCCUGAUGCAGCAACGCCGCGUGCGGGAUGACGGCCUUCGGGUUGUAAACCGCUUUCGCCUGUGACGAAGCGUGAGUGACGGUAAUGGGUAAAGAAGCACCGGCUAACUACGUG